GCAGUCGUAUAGAAAAGAAGAGAGAACAAAGAAGCAAUGACAACUUGUUAGAGAACCAUACGAGAAGCUUUAAGGCAGGUAUCCGUUGACACACAGUCUUUU
Sinocyclocheilus grahami is the source of this 102-nucleotide long non-coding RNA. RefSeq lists it as uncharacterized. The transcript has 3 exons. The record is from RefSeq and is a predicted model, not a curated record. Lineage: Eukaryota; Metazoa; Chordata; Actinopteri; Cypriniformes; Cyprinidae.